Molecule: ribosomal RNA, 343 nt
Filed under: uncultured bacterium
Lineage: Bacteria
Description: bacterial SSU rRNA
Rfam family: Bacterial small subunit ribosomal RNA
Source: RNAcentral
GCACUGUAGUCAGAGUUUGAUCCUGGCUCAGGAUGAACGCUAGCGAUAGGCUUAACACAUGCAAGUCGAGGGUACAUGGAGUAGCUUGCUGCUUCUGAUGACGACCGGCGGAUGGGUGAGUAACGCGUAUGCAACUUGCCUCUUAGUGGGGAAUAACCCGGAGAAAUCCGGACUAAUACCGCAUACACUUAGUUAUCCGCAUGGAUGAUUAAGGAAAGAUUUAUUGCUAAGAGAUAGGCAUACGUUCCAUUAGUUAGUUGGUGAGGUAACGGCUCACCAAGGCAUCGAUGGAUAGGGGAGCUGAGAGGCUUAUCCCCCACAUUGGGACUGAGACACGGCCCAA